CGGUGGAGCAUGUGGUUUAAUUCGAAGCAACGCGAAGAACCUUACCAGGCCUUGACAUGCAGAGAACUUUCCAGAGAUGGAUUGGUGCCUUCGGGAACUCUGACACAGGUGCUGCAUGGCUGUCGUCAGCUCGUGUCGUGAGAUGUUGGGUUAAGUCCCGUAACGAGCGCAACCCUUGUCCUUAGUUACCAGCACGUUAUGGUGGGCACUCUAAGGAGACUGCCGGUGACAAACCGGAGGAAGGUGGGGAUGACGUCAAGUCCUCAUGGCCCUUACAGGUGGGGCUACACACGUGCUACAAUGGCGACCACAGAGGGGAGCGACCCUGCGAGGGGCAGCCAAUCUCGAAAAGUCGUCUCAGUUCGGAUUGCAGGCUGAAACUCGCCUACAUGAAGUUGGAGUUGCUAGUAAUCGCGAAUCAGAAUGUCGCGGUGAAUGCGUUCCCGGGUCUU
Molecule: ribosomal RNA, 452 nt
Filed under: uncultured Pseudomonas sp.
Lineage: Bacteria; Pseudomonadati; Pseudomonadota; Gammaproteobacteria; Pseudomonadales; Pseudomonadaceae
Description: bacterial SSU rRNA
Rfam family: Bacterial small subunit ribosomal RNA
Source: RNAcentral